GAGCGGAUACGUCUAAUUGGUAAGGCAGCCGACUGUAAAUCGGUCAGGAUAUUCUCCUACUGCAGGUUCAAGUCCUGCUCUUCUCA
Molecule: transfer RNA, 86 nt
Filed under: Auricularia auricula-judae (jelly ear fungus)
Lineage: Eukaryota; Fungi; Basidiomycota; Agaricomycetes; Auriculariales; Auriculariaceae
Description: tRNA-Tyr
Rfam family: tRNA
About the family: Transfer RNA (tRNA) molecules are approximately 80 nucleotides in length. Their secondary structure includes four short double-helical elements and three loops (D, anti-codon, and T loops).
Source: RNAcentral